RNAcentral lists this ribosomal RNA (855 nucleotides) under Liolaemus lineomaculatus. RNAcentral's name for it is "partial 12S ribosomal RNA". Lineage: Eukaryota; Metazoa; Chordata; Lepidosauria; Squamata. The record is from RNAcentral.
UUUUGGUCCUAAACUUGCCGUUGUUUUUGAUCAAAAUUACACAUGCAAGCAUCCGCAUCCCAGUGAGAAUGCCCUUAUAAAGCAACAAGGAGCAGGUAUCAGGCACAACAAUUUAGCCCAAAACACCUUGCUACGCCACACCCACACGGGCACCCAGCAGUGAUAAAUAUUAAGCAAUGAGUGAAAGCCAACAUCAAGCUCGACUUAGUUAUGAUCAUAUAGGGCCGGUAAACCUCGUGCCAGCCACCGCGGUUAUACGAAGGGCCCAAAACAACAGACAUCGGCGUAAAUUGUGACUAGAGUAAUCACUUACAGUAAUGAAAGGUAAAAUAAAAUCUAACCGUAAAACCCAGACUAAAAGAAACCCGCCCUUCCAACUAUAGAGUGACUUGAACCCACGAAAACUAAGACACAAACUAGGAUUAGAUACCCUACUAUGCUUAGUUAUUAAAACGACACCACAAUACACCCGUGUCCGCCAGAGAAUUACACGCGAAAAGCUUAAAACUCAAAGGACUUGGCGGUGCUCCGUAUUCGUCUUAGAGGAGCCUGUCCUAUAAUCGAUACUCCACGUUUUACCUCACCAUCUUUUGUCAAAACAGCCUAUAUACCGCCGUCGCAAACUUACCCCAUGAGGGCAAAAUAGUAAGUAAAAUAGUACAACACUAACACGUCAGGUCAAGGUGUAGCUUACAAGAUGGAAGAGAUGGGCUACAUUUUCUAAAACAGAACAUACGGCAAAGGACAUUGAAAUUUAUAUCCUAAAAGGUGGAUUUAAUAGUAAGAUAGUAAAGAAAAACUAUCUAAAACUCGCUCCGGAGCGCGCACACACCGCCCGUCACCCUCCUCAACUAA